GCUGGCGACCMUAGCAAGAGUGAACCACCUGAUCCCUUCCCGAACUCAGAAGUGAAACCUCUUAGCGCUGAUGGUAGUGUGGGAUUACCCAUGUGAGAGUAAGUCAUCGCCAGCU
RNAcentral lists this ribosomal RNA (115 nucleotides) under Acinetobacter baumannii. Lineage: Bacteria; Pseudomonadati; Pseudomonadota; Gammaproteobacteria; Moraxellales; Moraxellaceae. The record is from RNAcentral.